RNAcentral lists this unclassified non-coding RNA (347 nucleotides) under soil metagenome. RNAcentral's name for it is "partial contains 5.8S ribosomal RNA, internal transcribed spacer 2, and large subunit ribosomal RNA". The stretch from base 1 to 120 matches the Rfam family "5.8S ribosomal RNA", at positions 35 to 154 of the family's 154-position model. The record is from RNAcentral.
GAUGAAGAACGCAGCGAAAUGCGAUAAGUAGUGUGAAUUGCAGAAUUCAGUGAAUCAUCGAAUCUUUGAACGCACAUUGCGCCCGCUGGUAUUCCGGCGGGCAUGCCUGUUCGAGCGUCAUUUCAACCCUCAAGCCCCCGGGUUUGGUGUUGGGGAUCGGCUCUGCCCUCUGGGCGGUGCCGCCCCCGAAAUACAUUGGCGGUCUCGCUGCAGCCUCCAUUGCGUAGUAGCUAACACCUCGCAACUGGAACGCGGCGCGGCCAUGCCGUAAAACCCCAACUUCUGAAUGUUGACCUCGGAUCAGGUAGGAAUACCCGCUGAACUUAAGCAUAUCAAUAAGCGGAGGA